GACGAACGCUGGCGGCGUGCCUAAUACAUGCAAGUAGAACGCUGGAGGAGGAGCUUGCUUCUCUGGAUGAGUUGCGAACGGGUGAGUAACGCGUAGGUAACCUGCCUGGUAGCGGGGGAUAACUAUUGGAAACGAUAGCUAAUACCGCAUAAUAGUAGAUGUUGCAUGACAUUUGCUUAAAAGGUGCAAUUGCAUCACUACCAGAUGGACCUGCGUUGUAUUAGCUAGUUGGUGAGGUAACGGCUCACCAAGGCGACGAUACAUAGCCGACCUGAGAGGGUGAUCGGCCACACUGGGACUGAGACACGGCCCAGACUCCUACGGGAGGCAGCAGUAGGGAAUCUUCGGCAAUGGACGGAAGUCUGACCGAGCAACGCCGCGUGAGUGAAGAAGGGUUUCGGAUCGUAAAGCUCUGUUGUAAGAGAAGAACGAGUGUGAGAGUGGAAAGUUCACACUGUGACGGUAUCUUACCAGAAAGGGACGGCUAACUACGUG
Molecule: ribosomal RNA, 495 nt
Filed under: uncultured bacterium
Lineage: Bacteria
Description: partial 16S ribosomal RNA
Rfam family: Bacterial small subunit ribosomal RNA
Source: RNAcentral